ACGGCGAGUGAAGCGGCAACAGCUCAAAUUUGAAAUCUGGCCCCCCGGGCCCGAGUUGUAAUUUGUAGAGGAUGCUUUUGGCAAGGUGCCGCCCGAGUUCCCUGGAACGGGACGCCGCAGAGGGUGAGAGCCCCGUCUGGCUGGCCACCGAGCCUCUGUAAAGCUCCUUCGACGAGUCGAGUAGUUUGGGAAUGCUGCUCAAAAUGGGAGGUAUAUGUCUUCUAAAGCUAAAUAUUGGCCAGAGACCGAUAGCGCACAAGUAGAGUGAUCGAAAGAUGAAAAGCACUUUGAAAAGAGGGUUAAACAGUACGUGAAAUUGUUGAAAGGGAAGCGCUCAUGACCAGACUUGGGCUUGGCGGAUCAUCCGGCGUUCUCGCCGGUGCACUCCGCCUCGUCCAGGCCAGCAUCAGCUCGCGCCGGGGGACAAAGGCUUCGGGAAUGUGGCUCCUCCGGGAGUGUUAUAGCCCGUUGCGUAAUACCCUGGGGCGGGCUGAGGUUCGCGCAUCUGCAAGGAUGCUGCGACGAAGUAU
Molecule: ribosomal RNA, 530 nt
Filed under: Hypomyces semicircularis
Lineage: Eukaryota; Fungi; Ascomycota; Sordariomycetes; Hypocreales; Hypocreaceae
Description: eukaryotic LSU rRNA
Rfam family: Eukaryotic large subunit ribosomal RNA
Source: RNAcentral